This 597-nucleotide long non-coding RNA is filed under the name Rattus norvegicus (Norway rat). RNAcentral describes it as "long non-coding RNA NONRATT031500". Lineage: Eukaryota; Metazoa; Chordata; Mammalia; Rodentia; Muridae. The record is from RNAcentral.
UCUCUCGGAUUUAGCCACGCCCUUCAUUCGUUACUGUGGGGAUUUUCGGAACAGAGGUUGUGGCAGUUUCAGCAUCAAAUACCUGAGGGUCCGCAUCCCAAUCUGGAGAUAGAAUUCCCUUCAAGAGGGUCUAAAUCACCUGCACGUAUGAGCCCCCUCAAAGGAAGGACUGAAUCUCCUGCAGGUGAGAAUGACAAGAAUGAGAGGGUCCAUAGGAGGAGGGACUUAAUUUCUUCUCUGAUGAGACUGGAGCACCAGCAAGAAUUUGACUCUGUAGUCUGAGAGAUUAUUUUCAGUAUGAUGUUCUGAGUUCCCUGAAUCCACAGCUGGAACACUGAGCCACCAUCAGGAACACUGCACCUGGACCAGUUGUCUUAAGGGCAUUAAAUACGAAUUUCACUUCUUUGGCUUAUAAAACCCCACCAUGCUCUAGCUUCCUUCCAACAUCCACCCUUCAUUCCCCACCAUCUCAGCUUCUCAAUGAAUCCUUCCGCUCCUUGAUUUUCCAAGCCUACCUAUGUCUUAUGAUCACCUACACACACACACACACACACACACACACACACACACACACACACACACACACACACACACCUG